CCCUAUAGUAGAGAAUAGCCCGGCGAAAGUCGGAGUUAAUGCUCUAUGUUCUUCUUUGAUGGCAUCUGAGGAGAAGCAAAGGUUCACCGCUAUAAGGAUGGGGGAUGGCGUCUGAUUAGGUAGUCGGCGGGGUAACGGCCCACCGAGCCAACGAUCAGUAGGGGUUCUGAGAGGAAGGUCCCCCACAUUGGUACUGAGACACGGACCAAACUCCUACGGGAGGCAGCAGUGAGGAAUAUUGGUCAAUGGGGCGAGAGCCUGAACCAGGCCAAGUAGCGUGCAAGGAUGACUGCCCUAUGGGUUGUAAACUGCUUUUAUGCGGGAAUAAAGUCCACUACGCGUAGUGGUUUGUAUGUACCGCAUGAAUAAGGACCGGCUAAUUCCGUGCCAGCCGCGGC
RNAcentral lists this ribosomal RNA (398 nucleotides) under uncultured bacterium. Its description in RNAcentral is "bacterial SSU rRNA". It matches the Rfam family "Bacterial small subunit ribosomal RNA", at positions 129 to 518 of the family's 1533-position model. The record is from RNAcentral.